UUUAAUAAUGCUUUAUUCAUGACCAUGGAUACAAGUCCUUCAGUCGAAUACAUUUUUAUAAUGAAUUUAAUACAAAACAUAAGAAAUAAACUAUUAUAUAAGCUUAGACAGUACAAUUUUAGUAAUAAUUCAUUAAUAUUAAAUUUUUUCCACAGUAUGUACAAUGUAGUUAUAUAUUGGAAUAAAAUAUGCAAAGUGAGAUAGCAAAUCUUGAACGCGGCGGGGAAUACUUUGUGAGUGUUCCUUUGCGAUGUCACUAAUGUCACUGACAAGAAUCAACCGUUGUAUGUUGAAAACUUGGCAUUCAAAUAUAAUAUGGUUUAUGUCAGCAUUUAUCUUGAAACAGUGGUUGCAUCUGUUGUCAUUUGUGAUUUUAAUUCUGUUGAGAUGGGAUGGAACUAAACAAUGGCCGAAACGUAGACGAUUGAUGAUAGUGAUAAAUUUUCUAUUGUAAUAUUUGAAUUUGCUGUACCAAGGUGUCACUGGUAAUGAUCCUGAAAUAAUAACAGAUGCUGAUAUGGGGGAACCUACAACUAACUGAGAAAGCUGUGCAGGAUAUAAAAUAUUUUUAAGCACAAUACUAUUACUGGAAGAUAAUUCCUUUAUACAAAAUCUUUCUGCCAGUUGCAAACGUCUUAGAGACAAUGGAGGUCGGACCUCAUACACUGAUGGCCUCACAUUUACACUUACCUGAGUUGGAUAGUGAUAGCUGCCCAUCGGGUCAUCAUGGACUUUCCACUCACAGAGAGGAGCUAUUCGGGGACUAACUAAUGUUAUAUCUAUUGCUGAUGCCUGCCUGUUUGGUGAUUGAAUGGUGGUUGGACUACCAUCAUUUAACACACAUAAGUCAAGUUCAUCUAUGAGAUUGUAUAUGUUAUUACCUCUACUAUUGUUUGUAUGACAACCAAACAAAAUAUGAUGUGCAUUAAAAUCACCCAUAAUGAGACAUGGCUUAGGAGCACUAAGUAGAACUUUUUUCAGUUUGUUGGUAUCAAAUCUUCCAUUAGGAGGACAAUACACACAUAGUAUGUUUAAU
Achroia grisella is the source of this 1036-nucleotide long non-coding RNA. RefSeq lists it as uncharacterized. The record is from RefSeq and is a predicted model, not a curated record. The transcript has 3 exons. Lineage: Eukaryota; Metazoa; Arthropoda; Insecta; Lepidoptera; Pyralidae.